This 485-nucleotide ribosomal RNA is filed under the name uncultured bacterium. RNAcentral's name for it is "partial 16S ribosomal RNA". It matches the Rfam family "Bacterial small subunit ribosomal RNA", at positions 28 to 507 of the family's 1533-position model. The record is from RNAcentral.
GAUGAACGCUAGCGAUAGGCUUAACACAUGCAAGUCGAGGGGCAGCGAGGGUAGCAAUACCUGUCGGCGACCGGCGCACGGGUGAGUAACGCGUAUGUAACCUGCCCGCAACAGGGGGAUAACCCGGCGAAAGUCGGACUAAUACCGCAUAAAACAGGGGUCCCGCAUGGGAAUAUUUGUUAAAGAUUUAUCGGUUGCGGAUGGGCAUGCGUACCAUUAGGUAGUUGGUGAGGUAACGGCUCACCAAGCCUUCGAUGGUUAGGGGUUCUGAGAGGAAGGUCCCCCACACUGGUACUGAGACAUGGACCAGACUCCUACGGGAGGCAGCAGUGAGGAAUAUUGGUCAAUGGGCGAGAGCCUGAACCAGCCAAGUCGCGUGAAGGAUGACUGCCCUAUGGGUUGUAAACUUCUUUUACAAGGGAAUAAAAUGAGAUACGUGUAUUUUAUUGCAUGUACCUUGGGAAUAAGCAUCGGCUAACUCCGUG